Molecule: non-coding RNA, 96 nt
Organism: Imleria badia
Lineage: Eukaryota; Fungi; Basidiomycota; Agaricomycetes; Boletales; Boletaceae
Source: the annotation of a GenBank genome assembly
GGGUGCGUAGCGCAGUGGUAGCGCGUAUGCUUUGCAGCUGCUCAAGCAAUUGAGCGAAUUUGUAUAAGGUCCAGGGUUCAAUCCCCUGCGCAUCCA